RNAcentral lists this ribosomal RNA (616 nucleotides) under Chrysosporium keratinophilum. RNAcentral's name for it is "LSU rRNA". It matches the Rfam family "Eukaryotic large subunit ribosomal RNA", at positions 38 to 667 of the family's 3401-position model. Lineage: Eukaryota; Fungi; Ascomycota; Eurotiomycetes; Onygenales; Onygenaceae. The record is from RNAcentral.
GCAUAUCAAUAAGCGGAGGAAAAGAAACCAACAGGGAUUGCCUCAGUAACGGCGAGUGAAGCGGCAAAAGCUCAAAUUUGAAAUCUGGCACCGUUAGGUGUCCGAGUUGUAAUUUGGAGAGGAUACUUCGGGUGUGGCUACGGCGUAAGUCCCUUGGAACAGGGCGUCAUAGAGGGUGAGAAUCCCGUCUUAAGUCGUUUGUCCACGCCCAUGCGAAGUUCCUUCGACGAGUCGAGUUGUUUGGGAAUGCAGCUCUAAGUGGGUGGUAAAUUUCAUCUAAAGCUAAAUAUUGGCCGGAGACCGAUAGCGAACAAGUAGAGUGAUCGAAAGGUUAAAAGCACCUUGAAAAGGGAGUUAAAUAGCACGUGAAAUUGUUGAAAGGGAAGCGCUUGCAACCAGACUCGGUCAUAGGGGCUCAGCAGGCAUGCGUGCCUGUGUACUCCCCUGUGUUCGGGCCAGCAUCAGUUCUGGCGGUUGGUUAAAGGCCCUUGGAAUGUAUCGUCCUCCGGGACGUCUUAUAGCCAAGGGUGUAAUGCAGCCAGCUGGGACUGAGGAACGCGCUUCGGCACGGAUGCUGGCGUAAUGGUUGUAAGCGACCCGUCUUGAAACACGGACC